AUACGUAGGGGGCGAGCGUUGUCCGGAAUGAUUGGGCGUAAAGGGCGCGUAGGCGGCCCGGUAAGUCUGGAGUGAAAGUCCUGUUUUUAAGAUGGGAAUUGCUUUGGAUACUGUCGGGCUUGAGGGCAGGAGAGGUAAGUGGAAUUUCCAGGGUAGCGGUGAAAUGCGUAGAGAUUGGGAGGAACACCAGUGGCGAAGGCGACUUACUGGACUGUAACUGACGCUGAGGCGCGAAAGUGUGGGGAGCAAACAGGAUUAGAUACCCUGGUAGUCCACACUGUAAACGAUGAAUGCUAGGUGUAGGGGGUAUCGACCCCUUCUGUGCCGCAGUCAACACAAUAAGCAUUCCGCCUGGGGAGUACGGCCGCAAGGUUGAAACUCAAAUGAAUUGGCGGGG
This 397-nucleotide ribosomal RNA is filed under the name uncultured bacterium. Its description in RNAcentral is "partial 16S ribosomal RNA". It matches the Rfam family "Bacterial small subunit ribosomal RNA", at positions 523 to 918 of the family's 1533-position model. The record is from RNAcentral.